UGAAGACUAGGCCAUGGUCUGAUCC
Molecule: non-coding RNA, 25 nt
Filed under: Mus musculus (house mouse)
Lineage: Eukaryota; Metazoa; Chordata; Mammalia; Rodentia; Muridae
Source: RNAcentral